This 197-nucleotide unclassified non-coding RNA is filed under the name uncultured Ascomycota. RNAcentral describes it as "sequence contains ITS2". The record is from RNAcentral. Lineage: Eukaryota; Fungi; Ascomycota.
AUAAUCAGCUCAAGGGCAGGCUUCAUUGCCGUUGUCUGCUCUUGGUUUUGAUGGAAGAGCGGAGGUACCGUUCUCAAUCGAAUUCGAUUGGCAAAGGUUCGGCCAUUGCAAUCAGCGUAGUAAUAUUAUUUCUCGCUGUGUUAUGGAGUCCUUUCUCUGCCAUUCGAACGUUGAAGGUUUCAUACGAAGCCUUAUUU